This 5284-nucleotide long non-coding RNA is filed under the name Mytilus galloprovincialis (Mediterranean mussel). The record is from RNAcentral. Lineage: Eukaryota; Metazoa; Mollusca; Bivalvia; Mytilida; Mytilidae.
UCCACUUGAUGAUUUUAUUGCUUGAUUAAACAAUGAAGAACAAUCAUACUAAUAUCAGUAUGGUUUACAACAUACACUUAUCACAUUUAUAUUGUAAUGUAACACACAAUUAUCACAUUUACAUUGUAAUCAUUCAAUAUGUAAUGUUAGACAAAUUCUGAAGUUCUCAAAACAUCUACAAAUUAUACAGUGAAACCUGACUAAACUGAAAACCUGCAUAAACCAAACAUGUUCUUAAGCACAGUCAUAUCAAAUUGUAUGCGUUGCAAACCUGAAAAACUGAACAUUGGUCAAAGUGGAACAAAUUUUAAAAGUCCUGAAGAAAUUCAGUUUAACAGGUUUCACUGAAGUUAUAAUUUAUAAGGGAUGACUUUCAAAAAACAGCAGUAACAUAAAAUAAAAAGCCCUAUGUUUGAAAACACUAGUUUCCUUCCCAUUGAGUUGCACCAGAUAAUAAAGCAGUCCUAAUCAAUAAAACUGCUGAUUGGCACAUGUUAUAUUUAAUAGUGCUUUGAUACAAGCAUCAGUCUAAUGUUUGUUCAUUAGCCCUUUUGUUAUAUUAGAGGUAUAUUGAGAAUUGACACAAGUUGUACUUUACUUAUUUUACAUACUCAUCAGCCAUACCUGUAAUGAAUUAGAAAUUCGCAAUAAAAACACAUAAUUUCUAAUUACAAAAUUUUUCUGGUAAAGGGGAGAUAACCCCAUUUGAAAUAUUUUUCAUUAUAAAAAUAAGAAUAUUGCCAAUGAGACAACUAUCCACCAAAGACCACAUGAUGUUGAUUCAAUCGCACAUUACACAUACAUAAUACGUAGGUGUUUGAAUUCUGUUAUUUACACCAAGUUUAACUUAUGUUUCUCUUGAUGCCUCUAAUAUGUAUCACUUCAAAAAAUUCAUUCAAACAAUAAAUGAAAUAAUAUGUCAUGGAUUAUAUUAAUGAUUUCUACUGUAUUGCACAAUCAAUUUUUAAGAAACCAUUUUUUAAAUCUUAUAAUUUCCCUAAAGAGAUAUUAUAAAUGUAUAAAGAUUUAUGAUAACAGGAUAUUUGUCUUAAUAUUAUUCCUAAUAGAACCAACAGAUUUGUUCAGAAGUUCAUCUUAAACAAAAAGUUAAAUGUCACAAUUUCACUCAAUGUACAGUACAAAUGUACCAAAGUUAAGUUGAGGUAAGCAAAUGGCUAGUCAUACUGAAGUAUAACAAAACUGCAUAUUAUUUCAAAAACUAAACAAACAAUUAUCAUAUAAGCUGCGUCUUAUAAAAAUUAAGGGGGCUCCUGGGUAUAAAUCAAUUUUUUUUUCUAAUAUAGGAUUUCGCUAUAUUUUUUUUUUAAAUGAACUUUAUUAUAUACUUAAAAGAAAAAUGAAAUAAAAAGUGAGGUCACCGUUCAUUUAAGCUCACAUUCUGCCUCCGGAAGAAGCAUACAUUUUUGUUAAUGUCCUUUUUUUCUGUUGAACUAAUAGGAGAAAUAAAGGUAAUAUCGAAAUAAAAAAAUAACCUAAUUACAGAAAUCACUUAAAUGUUACAAUUAUUUAGUUUAUGUACAGCUUAUUUGAAAACAAUGAUAAAAAAUAUAGGUCACCGAUGAGUUGAAAAAGAUAUUUCAAAUUUAAUGCCAAAAAAUGGCAUUUUUGCACCAAAGAGAGAUAAUUUGGAGCUUUUUCAAUGAUAUAAAAAUUUUAAAAGUCACCUGGGGCCAAACCAAAUCGAUUUUUGGGGAUGAUUUUUGUACCAUAUCAUAAAGUAAUAACUAAUAGUGUAAUAAAUAAAAUUUAUAGUGAAAAAAUAAAAGUUUAAUUUUUGCUGAAAUUUUUGUACCCACGAGCCACCUUAAGGUUAGCAAAUGGCUAGUCAUAUUGAAUUUUAAACAAAACUGCCUAUUCUUUCAAAAAUUAAACAAACAAUAAACAUAUGAGCUGGGUCUUAUAAAAAUCAAACUUAUGCAAAUGAUCAUCAAUACAUCUGUUAACCAUUUAAGAGAUAACUGUAUUGUAUUUGAAGCUUUAAGGACGUCCAUUGGUAGUUUUACUGUCGCAAAAUUAGUUUACCUGGCGACACGGAGCAAAGACAGGUAAACAGGUAUUUGCGACAGUUAAACUACCGAUGGACGUCCGCAAAGAUUCAAAUACAAUACAGUUAUCUCUAUUUUAAUGCAAAACAAGUUCAUAAUUAAAUUUCAAUCAUUAUUUCAGUGUAAAAUCUUCAUUAAAGAAAAUUCCGCGAAAAGAUGUUAUCUUCUUUGGUCCCUACACUAGGUGACGUCAUAGGUAUGCUUCCAGCGUCAAACAUAAACACCGGGCGUUUUCUGUCUUCUGUGCAGCUUCAGAAUGUAAUAAAAUUUGAUAAAAGAAGAUUUUUAGGCGCAACAAGUGAGUUUUUUGCUUAUUAUUGUAGAAAUAACAUGUCAAUACGUUUCGAAAUUCAAAAUGUCGGCUUCCUUAGUUACAGACAAGGAGAUAUAGAAUUUUACGCUUGCUGUCAUCCAAUCAGAACAAUUGUUACAAAAUAAUUGAUUAGAAUUUGGGAUGAAAACAUCUCUAUGUAAAAUAUGCAACUGUUUGAAAGUUAUGUUGAUAUAAGAAACCUACAAAAUAGAUCAAAAUACAGCUUUCAUUUCCUAUUUGAAUGUUAUAAAGCAAUCAAAGUAUGUUUAAUGUACAUGUAUACAUGCACAAGAUUGAUUUCUAUCCAAGGCAGCAAAUAUGUCUAAAUUUGACCAAUGCUUUUCCUUAUGUAUUUCCUAGUACUCAACAUAAUCUAGCAUUCAAUUAAUGUAAAUGUAUUUUGCAACAAUUUUGAGUCCUUUAAAUGAAAAAAAAAUCCCUUUAAAAUUCAGAAAACAGUUAUGGUUCCUAGUUAAAAAAUGUCUUUGAAGGGUAUUUUCUAAAGAUACUACUGCUUAAACACAAAGGUGUUAUACAUGUAUAAAUAUCAAAUUAUGAUGGAAAGCCAGGCUAAGAUACUAAGGUACUUUCAGUUGUUCAAUCAGUCAUUGACAAGGGCAUAACUCUGAUUGUUAGAAAUGUGAUAAUAUUGAAAUUCAAACCAGAAUUGCAUUUCAUAGUAGACAGUUACAAGACCUAUUCAAAAGUAAACAAGCUCACUAUACAGUAUGGGUUUUGCUCAGUGUUGAAGGAUUCGUUUGGUUAAGUUGUAUAGUUGUAUCAUUGGUAAUCACAACAUAUCUCUAUUUUUAUAUUAAGUUACCAUUUGAAACCAUUUAAACCUAUUAGAGAUAGUUCAAUUUAUGUUUUACACAUUAGAUACUUUAGUUAAACAGAUUUUUCAGAGGGCUUAACAAAGCAGUGCUCAUUUCACAAAUCCCACUUUUUUUAUUAACCCUCCCCCUUUCUUCCUGUAUUUCUGAGAUCCCUCUUUUCAUCCCCCUACAUCCCAAAUCCCAUGCAUGUGUCAUCCCCCACGGAGUGGAUUUUAAUUGAAUCAUCCAAUUUGUACAGUAUAAUAACAAUGUAUGCAGUAUAAAGUUUAUAAUAACAUUGGUACACAAAAUAAAGAGUUAGACACAUUAUUUGUCAUUAGAAAUCAGAAACAAAUCUCUUUCUGAAAAUGAUACUGUAAGUAUGAUCAAUAAACUGACAUUGAAGAAGAAGUACAUGAAUAUGUAGAUGAUGAUUUGCACAUUUAUUGCACAUUAGUUAGAACACACAUGAAAAAAAGAAAGUAGGCUAAAAAUAAACACAACGUUCAUCUUUCCUGUACCGUCUAAAAAUAUUGCACUUUUCAUUCUCAACGAUUAGUUCACAGAACUUAGACCUUUAUAAAAGCUAGAAAAUUUGAGUAUUAUUGUAAAACUGGAUGACAUAAUUCUUCCUUAGUGACAAUACAUUUUCAAAUAAUGAAACCAAUAAUACAAAUAUGAUAAAGAUAUAUGCUGUUUUAUGAUACCAGAAAGAAUUAAUUUUGAUACAAUUAUUAAUAACUAAAAUCAAAAUUAAAAGGCAUACUAGUUCAAAUUACUACUUUCUGAUGUAAUAAAUGUCAAUGCAUGUAAUGUAUUCAUAUCAUUUGGCCAUUUCAGAAUCUAAUGCAUUCUGGGUAAUAUUUUCAAAAGUAUACACUGAAAUGUUGAUUGGUUUAAAACAUCAUCCAACCAGUUACAUCUUUCCUUUCAAAUAUAAACAAAAAUCAUUUUUGAAAGGGAGAAUUGUCAAAAUUGAUAUCAUUUUAUAAUUUUGAAUGGAAAAAGUGAUCUCAUACAAUUUAUACAUUGCAAAUUAAAUGCAUUGAAAUUUAAUACAUUGUAAUAUAAAACUAUUGGAAAAGCAGAAAUGAUCACAAUGUAACAUGACACAACCUAGAAAAUGACGUUAAUAGAAAGGGACACACAACCAAUAAAAGCUGCAAGAAAAACAAUAAAAUAAAAACAAAGAUUUAAACAACUAAAAAUAGUAUAAUCACACAAUGCUUGCCCUAAUAUGUUUGGUAUAAUGAUUUAAAGACAUUUCUAGUAGCUAUUUUUGAGAUCCCUCAGAAAUAAAAUUCAAACUUCAUUACGUGACCAUACAAAAAGGGGUAUAUGAUUAAAUACCUACUAACACAAAUGUAUUUAAAGGUGGUAAAUACAACUGAAGGGAGAUAACUCUAUAAAACUCAGCUGAACAUUUUAAUCACAUUUGAUUGUUAAGGAUAUAUUAAACUUCUCAAUGAUUAAAACAUUGUAAAACUAGUGUUUGUCAAACUGUUGUAUAUCAAAGGAAAUUUUUCUGAUCAAGUGUGUGGUUCAAGUUUUUUUUUAAAUUUGUCAAAAUUUUAUGAAAAUUAAAUGAACCACAUUAAUUUUAGUCUAGGUGUUUGUGUCUGUUGACUCAAAAUUGAUCUGUUACUCCCUAGACAUAAUUCAAAUGAAUAUCUUACAAAAGAAUAGGCAGAUAAAUUCGCCGUUUCAGAAUCUAAUGCAUUCUGGGAAAUAUUUUCAUAAGCAUACACCAAAAGGUUGUGAUUGGUGAAAAAUGUUCUAAACAAUUGAAAUUCAACCAAUGACGUAUCGUUAUUUUCAUUUUGGUGUACGAACAAUGAGAUUACCCAUAGUCCUUUAGAUUCUGAAAAGGCGAAUUGGUGACUGAUACAUACAUGGAUGGACAGCAAGAGGAGGUUGUUAUCAAGAGAGAAUUAAAAAAGAAAGAAACAGUUUGUCAACACAUUGUCUAAAAAUCAUUAGAGAAACAAAUUCUACAACCAUAUCUUGUGUGAAAAAUCAUUUCUCCACUCAUAACAGUAUAAAUUCUAAUUAUUUAUUAACAUUUUUUUUAUUUUGAAAAUUUAUCUGUC